This is a long non-coding RNA of Sciurus carolinensis (gray squirrel), 4238 nucleotides long. RefSeq lists it as uncharacterized. Lineage: Eukaryota; Metazoa; Chordata; Mammalia; Rodentia; Sciuridae. The record is from RefSeq and is a predicted model, not a curated record. The transcript is spliced from 3 exons.
CCAGCCCUUGCUGUGCACAGCCCCCGACUCUGCCCAGUCUCCUGCACCAGACUCUGCGCUCUGCUCCUCUCACCGUCACCGGCCGCCGUGCACACCUCUCCACACACGUCAGUACGUCAGUGCCUGGGAGCUGGGCUCUGACGGUCCUGAGCCGCCGUGGUGUCGGCUGACUUCGGGAGGCCUUCUGGGAAUCACGUUCACAGAGCAGCACAGGCUGUAUCGCCACCAUGGCUCAGGGCUCUGGGAGCCCAGGUGACACCUCAGCGGAGGCUCGUGGCCUCCCGGUGAGUAAGGAAGCUGUUGACAGAGCCAGCAGGAACUCAUCAAGCCCCUCACGUCCUCCUGGCAUCUCACCGGGACCCUAGAGUAAAAGCCCAGACCCCUUACUGUAACCCGCAAGAAGCAAAGGUGUCGCCGCCACGUUACCAACUGCCAGGACCUGCCUCCCCGACAAAGCAGACAGGAAGUGCAACUGGGGCGCAGGAAGGUUGGGAGAGCGAGGCGCGCGUCCUGCUGGGCUCCCCCUGCCCUCCCCUGCACCCUGCACCCCUCGGGAUGGCCGUGCCAAGUUUCACAUUCCCUUCCUUACAGUGGCCACCACUGUCACCGUCCCUUCCUCUCCGCCAUCCAGGGCCUCGCUCCCAUCUGAUUACCAUCCAGGAACUCAGUCUCUUUUCCCUCCAGUGGGUCACCUAGACUACCCCUGGCAGCGAGGCCAUGUCCCCACCUUGCAGAGUCUGCAGAUUUUUACAGCACCAGGCUCCCUCUUGGGUCAAGAAAAGGGCACGACUUUGGCCAGUUCUGCUUUCAAACAGAAGGGAGUGACGUGUAGGCGUUCAGUUCCCACUUUGCUCUUUUGCCCUUGUCAACACGCUGCCUCCUCUGAGCUUGCUUCUUGGGUCUUAUCAAACAGACCAACGCAGCACCAGGGCCAGCUGCCCAAUGCCUCCUCAUAGAUGUUCAGUGGCACUUAAUUCGCUAAAAGAACUUAGUUGCUUGGAAAAGUGACCCAGGAGAUGUUUUCAGGCAGACUCUCAUAUUGCUUUCCUCAUGCCAACUGCGCUAGGCUUUUAGGAAAGUUCUUUUCCAGGAAUGCUGGCUCCUUCCUGCCAUGCCCAAGCACCCUACGACCUGAGAAAGGAUGGAGUGGGGAACCGUCUGCCACUGUGAGAAAGAGUCAGCACCCGGAUUAAAGGAUGAUGGGCCAGACGCGCUCUGUGUAAUGACUAGGGAGUUGCGCUCACGGGGAUGAGUCACCUGGGCGUGGAGCUCGGCUGGCUGUGGUUCUGCUCCAGAUGGUCCCUGAGGAGCUGUGCAGGGGAGCAGAUCUGAGAACGAAACCCGUCCAACCAGAAGCGCCUGUCUCGUCCUGCUGAUUUAUGGGCCAGCCACCCAGCAUCCCCAAGAGAUCCUCUUUCACACUCUCCUCCCUAUCCCCGCGGGGCCUUUUCUGCCACUUGCAGACCUAAUUCAGCCCUGAGAGUGGGGAACCUGGGAGUUAGGACAGUCCGGGUCAGAUAAACCAGGCAGCCAGGCAACCAACGCCGCAUGCUGUCGACACCAAGGCCCUGUGAGCAGGCACGGGGUGAUCCCAUCCUAGGUACACGGCGAUGUGCGCGUCUGCACAGCCCAGGACCGAGCUCUGACUGGGCAGCUGCGCUCCAGCUGGGUGACCCUGGAGAAACUGCUCGGUCGAACUCCCUGAACUUGAGAUUCCGCUCUGUAAAAUGGCCACAGUGCCACCUCCUACGUCAAGGGGAGGAUUAAACAAGAUCUCACAUUAUCUGUUUUGUACAUGGUGAUUAAAGAUGACCUGUUACUGGCUGGGGACAUAGUGCAGUGGUAGAGCACCUGCCAAGUAUGCACUAGGCGCUUGGUCCCCAGCACUGCAAAACACAAAAGCAAAGCCCUGUCACCUGUCAUUACCCGGCCAGCCCUAGCGGUGGCAAAGCGGAGCCCGCUCUGCCGGCAGCCGCGGGGGUUCCAGCCACUCGCGGAGAGGCAGCUUCUCCCCAGUUGUCUUAUUGCUCUCGUUCCUGGUGAAUGAACACGCUGUCCUGGACAGCAGUAGCCAGAGCAGCCCAAGACACCAGCAGAGGACAAUCCUCUGUCACUUUAUCUCUAAAUGCAGUUCUCUCCAAAUCACGGCUGAAAGAAUAAGAAGUGUAACUGGGAGAAAUCCAGGAUUCAGAAGUGAAUCGAGAGAAGCCUUCUUUUUCACUCGUUGUUUGCUCGACUUUGCCACUUUCCUCUUAAAGGAUAAUUCAGGCUCCAGCAUUUGACUUAGUAGACAAAGGUGCUGUUCCCUCUUUGCUGUGAAUCAUGUUCCAUCUCUUCCCUAUAAAACACCCAUUUGUGCGGAAUUUCAACACUCUUGGGCAAAAUACUCAUAAUGAAUUUCCCAUUCAAUAGCAUGGCCUUCCAAAUGACCAGCUAUGGACUGACCAACACGAAUCCUGUUCUGCUGGCACAACAGGGGCUAAAAUGAUAGGAAAAAGGGUGUGUGGCAGGGAAAGUUUAUUGAUUGAAAUAAGCCACAACCCAAACUCUGCAACAGCAUCAAAAGCCACCCUCCCCUGUGGAAAGGGAACUUGGCUGUCUCCUCUUGCUCUGCACUGCAGGGUCAUGUGAGGUCACCCCAGAGGCGCUCUCCUCCUGACUGGUGCCGUAAGGAACAGCAGAGGAGCACGAGCUUGCCUGGCCUUGGAGUCACAGCAGCACCGGCCACCAAGUGCUGGAGCCAAGGGGCCGGUCCACCAGUGAACCAGGUGUGACUUCACAACACACCCAAGAACUCGGAGACCACUUCUCCAAUCAGGUGCAGCCCUGAUUCCCAGCAGGGAAAGCACGUGGAGACCACCAGCCAUGGGAACAGAAUCCAUGGGUAUCCUCAUUAGGGUCAAAGGGGAAAGUGACAUCGGGGAAAGUGACACCAUGUCCUGCCUCACAGCUCAAGGACAGUUAGAAGAAGACACGGGGAUUUUCAUGGGAGCAGGUUCUGAGAGACAGAUGUCCAUUCUGAUCUCUCUGAGCAACAAUCGUGCCAGCGGCCGAGGGGUCUCACAUAGUCCUGGAACUACAGGAAAUGAAGUUUCGGGUACCCAGCAUCUCUUCUGUCACCCGCGGCCCUCUGCUUCCUGGAUGCCGUGCUCUGAGCUUGUUCAUUAGCUGUUGUCCUGUCCCCUCCCUCCAUGAGUGACCACCACCUGCCAGGUUCCAACGGUUCCUCUCAUUGCCACCCUUAACAGAUGUGUGAGGAGAGAUCCACCUUGAUUUGCAGACAGGAAGCUCAGGGCAGCGCUGUCCCCUGACUUGCCCGAGGUUACUCGGCUGAGGAGCAGCAGGGCUGAAAUCGAAAGCUUGGACCUCCUGCCUCCAGAUCCAGUCCCAGGGGAGGGAGCAGUUGGUCUUGUGCAUCAGCCUGGCCCUGGUUUGGCCAGGGACAUUCCCAUCUUCAAUCAAACAAAAGAGGAGAUGACCAGAAGGAGAGAAGAGAGCCUUCCCUCUCCUCGUCGUUUCUGGGUAAGCAGCGGCUGCAGAGUUCUCAGCUAUGAGAGUUCCUCCUGCCCUCCCGCCACGGAGGGCAGGCGGCACACUAUCUCCAUCUCUAGAGAGGAGUGGUCCCUUCCUCUGGCCAGGAGCUAGGGAGGGUGAUCCACGGGACCCAGCCGGCCUGCCUGCCUCUACACACUCGGACAGCGAGCAAAGGAGGAAGCGCACCUGGGGGCCUGGGUCCAGGCCGGGAGGCCCGACGCGCAGCACAAAGCAUCCCCUUCACCCCUUCACUCGCCUCCCCUGCUCCUGCGGCAGCCGAGGUUCCUGGAACCCAUCCCAACACAGUGCCCUCGGCAGAUCCUACCAGCUGGACGAAACCUAUCUGCCGAUCCCGAUGUCGCCAUCUGCAGGGUUCUGUUCUCAGGGCACUGGGGAGCCCCCAGCGUGACUGCCCAGGCCUUUGCACUGGGUGCUGCCGCUGGCCUCUGGCAGCUGUCAUUUUGCAGGAGACUCUGGAGGAACUGAACUUCCCUGCUUUUCACCAUUAGGUAAGGGGUGGCUUUCCUGAGGGCCACAUACCCAAAAAGAACCUGUCUCAAUGAUUUCUUUUGGGACGUGAGGUCAGCAGAAGGUCGGUGACCACGUCCCCCAGCCCCAGCCUACUUUUCUUUCCUCUGCUGACAGUGUUGGUAGCUGCCCUUUCUCCCUCCUCCUGGCAGCCUCGGGGGUUGGCUUCGGGAACA